Molecule: long non-coding RNA, 832 nt
Filed under: Portunus trituberculatus (swimming crab)
Lineage: Eukaryota; Metazoa; Arthropoda; Malacostraca; Decapoda; Portunidae
Description: uncharacterized LOC123512006, transcript variant X2
Source: RNAcentral
CAAAGGCUUCAGGAAGGCUUCACUGCUUCAUUCAUCGGUGGUGGUGUGGUGGCGAGCGCUCAGUCGACAAGAAGAAAAGGGGUGUGAUGCCGCUACCGUGCUGUUCCUCGUCCCUCUACUUGCCUUUGUCUUAAAGCCAGCUGUUAAAUCAAUUAGACGCAUGGAUGACGGAGAGUGGCAGGACAACACGCGGCGAGGCGAUCAGAGGAAAGCUGUGUUGGAGAGAAGCGAGGCGAGGCUUUUUGCUAAGACACCUCCAGUGUCACCCUGAGAUGGACAAUCACCAAUAAUAUUCCAAGUGGAGUUACAGAGGUCAAGUAAAAAGGGAACAUGGAAUAUCAUCACUGUGGCCCGGCGAUGACUCAUGGCACUCAGUAAAACCUGUCACUCACACAAAGAAGAUGGGACAAAGGCAUCUCCACCAGGGGAGGAAAAAGUGACACCAUUGGAUUCCAAAUGUUGGUGACUUGCUUCAGCUGCAGUGGGUCCAUUUCUGGAGACACCAUCUCAGUGUUCAGACCACCUUUCCCCCUCCACACUGGAGGCAUCCGCUGCUGCUGCUGCUGCUGCAGCCACCCCCAUCUACGAUUCUAUAAAUAAAUAAAGUGUGUCAGACUCUGGACUUUACUCGCAACUGCGAGUAAUGAGCUUCCCAGUGUGCCAAGUCAAGGACUCCCCAACACAGUGACAUUAUUAUUAUUAGUGAUUUUUAAAUUUUGAUUUUUUGUGUUGACAUUUAUUAUUGAUUUUUUUAUGUUUGAAUUCAGUCCUAGUUGAUAUCCGGAGUGUCUUUGAGGUAUGAUGUAUCAUUUUUAACAUGAGGAUGAGGUUG